Molecule: ribosomal RNA, 207 nt
Filed under: uncultured bacterium
Lineage: Bacteria
Description: partial 16S ribosomal RNA
Rfam family: Bacterial small subunit ribosomal RNA
Source: RNAcentral
CACGCAGGCGGUCGUGUAAGUUUGGAGUGACAGUGCCCGGCUUAACUGGGCAAGUGCUUCGAAAACUGCGCGACUUGAGGGCUUCAGAGGGACACGGAAUUCCGGGUGUAGUGGUGAAAUGCGUAGAUAUCCGGAGGAACACCGAAGGCGUAGGCAGUGUCCUGGGGAGUACCUGACGCUCAGGUGCGAAAGCCAGGGGAGCGAACG